GGUCCCGUAGCUCAGCAGGAUAGAGCAGCGGUUUCCUAAACCGCAGGUCAGAGGUCCGCGCCGCCAACGGGUCUA
This 75-nucleotide transfer RNA is filed under the name Planctomycetota bacterium. RNAcentral's name for it is "Planctomycetes bacterium tRNA-Arg". The stretch from base 1 to 66 matches the Rfam family "tRNA". Rfam says of the family: Transfer RNA (tRNA) molecules are approximately 80 nucleotides in length. Their secondary structure includes four short double-helical elements and three loops (D, anti-codon, and T loops). Lineage: Bacteria; Pseudomonadati; Planctomycetota. The record is from RNAcentral.